Non-coding RNA from Pelobates cultripes (western spadefoot toad), 220 nucleotides. The record is from the annotation of a GenBank genome assembly. Lineage: Eukaryota; Metazoa; Chordata; Amphibia; Anura; Pelobatidae.
GUCAGUUACACUUUACUCUUCUAAAUAUGGGUAUGCCAUCCUUUUUCAAGUGGUCAGCACAUCCCAACACCAAAAAGAAGCUGUUAAGAAAGAGGAGAAAAAAAACAAAUUCAAUAUGCGACCAGUGGAAACAUAUUAAAUAAUAUGUAAAUCCUGUUGAUACAUUAAUCCACUUGUGAGAACUUCAAAUACCUUUACUAGCUUUCCCAGUUUAUCACCU